Molecule: ribosomal RNA, 463 nt
Filed under: uncultured bacterium
Lineage: Bacteria
Description: partial 16S ribosomal RNA
Rfam family: Bacterial small subunit ribosomal RNA
Source: RNAcentral
GACGAACGCUGGCGGCGUGCUUAACACAUGCAAGUCGAACGGAAAGGCCUUUUCGGCGGUACUCGAGUGGCGAACGGGUGAGUAACACGUGGGUGAUCUGCCCUGCACUCUGGGAUAAGCCUGGGAAACUGGGUCUAAUACCGGAUAGGACCGCACUUUAGUGUGUGUGGUGGAAAGUUUUUUCGGUGUAGGUUGAGCCCGCGGCCUAUCAGCUUGCUGGUGGGGUAAUGGCCUACCAAGGCGGCGACGGGUAGCCGGACUGGGGGGUUGGUCGGCCACAUUGGGGCUGAGAUACGGCCCAGACUCCUACGGGGGGCAGCGGGGGGGAAGAUUGGACAAUGGGCGCAAGCCUGAUGCAGCGACGCCGCGGGGGGGAUGACGGGCUUCGGGUUGUAAACUCCUUUCGCCAGGGACGAAGCGUUUUGUGACGGUACCUGGAGAAGAAGCACCGGCUAACUACGUG